Long non-coding RNA from Corapipo altera (White-ruffed manakin), 474 nucleotides. RefSeq lists it as uncharacterized. The transcript is spliced from 2 exons. Lineage: Eukaryota; Metazoa; Chordata; Aves; Passeriformes; Pipridae. The record is from RefSeq and is a predicted model, not a curated record.
GGCCUACUUGUGUUCCUUUCCAGGAUCUUGCCCUCAGCGGGGGAAGGAAUGUUACAGUGCUGAUGUUGUGCUCAGCAGUAGCCAAAACACUGGCAUGUUAUCAGCACCUUUCUACAUACCAAUGCAAAGCACAGCAUUGUGAGGGCUGCUGUGGGGAAGAUGAACCAUCCCAGUUCCAUCUCAGCCAGACCCAAGUCUGAGGAUGGAGACUGUGGGUGAAUUGCCCGCACCAUUCUGUUCAACAAUACAAGCCUUCUGUUUCGAGAGCAGAACACUGAUUUUAAGGAACAAGCAUUACCUUCAGGAGAUGUGAGGCAGCUUCCUGGGCAUAACCUUCAAAAUGAAUAUUCACACUCCAAUUAUUUCUUAAGCUGUCAACGGGGACUCCACAAUAUUUUUGUGUAGCUUUUUUAUUUUUCCUCUUUGAAACACAUAAGAAUAAUGAAACAAGAAUUUAGUAAAAUAUUUUCCAAC